UUUCCGUAGGCGAACCUGCGGAAGGAUCAUUACAGAGUUCAUGCCCUCACGGGUAGAUCUCCCACCCUUGAAUAUUUAUACCUUAGUUGCUUUGGCAGGCCGUGGAAACACCAUGGGCUCCGGCUUAUGCGUGCCUGCCAGAGGAAACAAACUCUGUUUUUAGUGAUGUCUGAGUACUAUAUAAUAGUUAAAACUUUCAACAACGGAUCUCUUGGUUCUG
RNAcentral lists this unclassified non-coding RNA (220 nucleotides) under plant metagenome. RNAcentral describes it as "partial contains small subunit ribosomal RNA, internal transcribed spacer 1, and 5.8S ribosomal RNA". The record is from RNAcentral.